This is a transfer RNA of Ovis aries (sheep), 72 nucleotides long. It matches the Rfam family "tRNA". Rfam says of the family: Transfer RNA (tRNA) molecules are approximately 80 nucleotides in length. The record is from Rfam. Lineage: Eukaryota; Metazoa; Chordata; Mammalia; Artiodactyla; Bovidae.
UCCCUGGUAGCUGAGUUGGUAAAGAAUCUGUCUGCAACACAGGAGACCCUGGUUUGAGUCCCGGGUUGGGAA